RNAcentral lists this ribosomal RNA (182 nucleotides) under uncultured bacterium. RNAcentral's name for it is "partial 16S ribosomal RNA". It matches the Rfam family "Bacterial small subunit ribosomal RNA", at positions 327 to 523 of the family's 1533-position model. The record is from RNAcentral.
CGGCCCAGACUCCUACGGGAGGCAGCAGUUGGGAAUAUUGGACAAUGGAGGGAACCCUGAUCCAGUGACGCCGCGUGAAGGAAGAAGGUCUUCGGAUUGUAAACUUAUUUUAUCAGGGAAGAAACAAAUGACAGUACCUGAAGAAGAAGCACCGGCAAACUACGUGCCAGCAGCCGCGGUAA